Long non-coding RNA from Brassica rapa (field mustard), 1024 nucleotides. RefSeq lists it as uncharacterized. NCBI's taxonomy places the organism in Eukaryota, Viridiplantae, Streptophyta, Magnoliopsida, Brassicales, Brassicaceae. The record is from RefSeq and is a predicted model, not a curated record.
UACGUUACUGGGCUUAAGGACUUGGUCAGACUUCAGGCCCGACGCAAAGAGAAGUGCCGCAAAGAGAAGAUGUCUCCCUUCUCCUGCGACGGCGACCCUAAAACUUUUCUGAUUCUUCCACCAUCUGAAACGUUUUACGUAAAAGCUUCGAGAUUAAUCACAUUGAUUCGCUCUCCCACUACGUCGUCUUCAAUGCUACGUUUCGAUAUGAUAUGCGGCGAUCUCCGUAUAAAUAUGGUUUUUUCUCCGAUCUGGGUCGAUAUGCUGAUGGUGGAUGUGAAUUCGGCCAUGAUGCAAGCGACCAUGAUAUAUCUCUAAUCAUUACUUUUUGCUAUCUCCACAUCUCUCUGCUACUCAUCUCUCUGCUAUCUCCACAACUUUCCUAAAGCUUUAGAGAGAUCUCAAAAUCUCGACAGCCAUGGCAACCACCAAAUUCCAGAGGAUUAUGAUCCAGCCAAUGCUCCAUAACUUGAGUUUUAGGGGUUUUCAAAGUAAACUUCGAAUCCAUAUUUGGCUAUUUGAGCGGAAAGAUCUGAAGACUGAAAAAAUAAUUAAUUGUUCAGGAAUUCAUGGCGUUCUUUGUGCGGUUGAAUUCAUGGAUUACAAACACUACUGAGUAAUUUCAUCAACACACUACUGAGGAAUUCAUGGUGUUCUUUGUUCAGAAAGUUUCUUCACAUUUUAUUUUUCUUGCAUAUUCAAUUCAUGUCCACUGGCCACUAGACUAACUUAAGGUUAUGUUCUUGAUUCAUCUGUCCCCUUCACAUUAUGUAUCUGAGGUUGAUCAAAAUUACAUGUUUAUGGUGACAGUGCCUAGGUCUUGAUGCCCGCAUUACAUAGAUGGUGCUUAUGAUACUUUUCAGCUGGCCACACUAAGCUAUAUGUUAAUUUAGUGCAGACAUAUUAAUCAUUAUGUUUUUCAUUUUUCCUAUUUGUUGUCGAUAGAAUUUGAGCGCUAAUAUGUAUUUGACUAUAUAGAUCUUCAAAACUUUAUUUUCGAAAUGAGAAGAGAGUUUAUUUUUAA